Molecule: ribosomal RNA, 228 nt
Filed under: uncultured bacterium
Lineage: Bacteria
Description: partial 16S ribosomal RNA
Rfam family: Bacterial small subunit ribosomal RNA
Source: RNAcentral
GAUCAUGGCUCAGAUUGAACGCUGGCGGCAGGCCUAACACAUGCAAGUCGAGCGGAUGAAGAGAGCUUGCUCUCUGAUUCAGCGGCGGACGGGUGAGUAAUGCCUAGGAAUCUGCCUGAUAGUGGGGGACAACGUUUCGAAAGGAACGCUAAUACCGCAUACGUCCUACGGGAGAAAGCAGGGGACCUUCGGGCCUUGCGCUAUCAGAUGAGCCUAGGUCGGAUUAGU